GAACGCUGGCGGCAGGCCUAACACAUGCAAGUCGAGCGGCAGCACGGGAAGCUUGCUUCCUGGUGGCGAGCGGCGGACGGGUGAGUAAUGCAUAGAAAUCUGCCCGGUAGUGGGGGAUAACCUGGGGAAACCCAGGCUAAUACCGCAUACGUCCUACGGGAGAAAGCAGGGGAUCUUCGGACCUUGCGCUAUCGGAUGAGUCUAUGUCGGAUUAGCUUGUUGGUGAGGUAAUGGCUCACCAAGGCGACGAUCCGUAGCUGGUCUGAGAGGAUGAUCAGCCACAUCGGGACUGAGACACGGCCCGAACUCCUACGGGAGGCAGCAGUGGGGAAUAUUGGACAAUGGGCGAAAGCCUGAUCCAGCCAUCCCGCGUGUGUGAAGAAGGCCUUCGGGUUGUAAAGCACUUUCAGUGGGGAAGAAAGCCUUGGGACUAAUACCCUCGAGGAAGGACAUCACCCACAGAAGAAGCACCGGCUAACUCCGUGCCAGCAGCCGCGUUAAUACGGAGGGUGCGAGCGUUAAUCGGAAUUACUGGGCGUAAAGCGCGCGUAGGCGGUCUGAUAAGCCGGUUGUGAAAGCCCCGGGCUCAACCUGGGAACGGCAUCCGGAACUGUCAGGCUAGAGUGCAGGAGAGGAAGGUAGAAUUCCCGGUGUAGCGGUGAAAUGCGUAGAGAUCGGGAGGAAUACCAGUGGCGAAGGCGGCCUUCUGGACUGACACUGACGCUGAGGUGCGAAAGCGUGGGUAGCAAACAGGAUUAGAUACCCUGGUAGUCCAGCCCGGUAAACGAUGUCGACUAGCCGUUGGGCUCCUUGAGAGCUUUGUGGCGCAGUUAACGCGAUAAGUCGACCGCCUGGGGAGUACGGCCGCAAGGUUAAAACUCAAAUGAAUUGACGGGGGCCCGCACAAGCGGUGGAGCAUGUGGUUUAAUUCGAUGCAACGCGAAGAACCUUACCUACCCUUGACAUCGUGCGAACUUUCCAGAGAUGGAUUUGGUGCCUUCGGGAACGCACAAACAGGUGCUGCAUGGCUGUCGUCAGCUCGUGUUGUGAAAUGUUGGGUUAAGUCCCGUAACGAGCGCAACCCUUGUCCUUAUUUGCCAGCGAGUAAUGUCGGGAACUCUAAGGAGACUGCCGGUGACAAACCGGAGGAAGGUGGGGACGACGUCAAAUCAUCAUGGCCCUUACGGGUAGGGCUACACACGUGCUACAAUGGCCGGUACAAAGGGUUGCGAAGCCGCGAAGGUGGGAGCUAAUCCCGAAAAACUGGUCUCAGUCCGGAUCGGAGUCUUCAACUCGACUCCGUGAAGUCGGAAUCGCUAGUAAUCGUGAAUCAGAAUGUCACGGUGAAUACGUUCCCGGGCCUUGUACACACCGCCCGUCACACCAUGGGAGUGGACUGCACCAGAAGUGGUUAGCCUAACUUCGGAGGGCGAUCACCACGGUGUGGUUCAUGACUGGGGUGAAGUCGUAACAAGGUAUCCGU
Molecule: ribosomal RNA, 1483 nt
Filed under: bacterium 12C1
Lineage: Bacteria; Pseudomonadati; Pseudomonadota; Gammaproteobacteria; Oceanospirillales; Halomonadaceae
Description: 16S ribosomal RNA
Rfam family: Bacterial small subunit ribosomal RNA
Source: RNAcentral